GGCGAACGGGUGAGUAACGUAUCGGAACGUACCUUUCAGUGGGGGAUAACGUAGCGAAAGUUACGCUAAUACCGCAUAUUCUGUGAGCAGGAAAGCAGGGGAUCGCAAGACCUUGCGCUGAUUGAGCGGCCGAUAUCAGAUUAGCUAGUUGGUGAGGUAAAGGCUCACCAAGGCGACGAUCUGUAGCGGGUCUGAGAGGAUGAUCCGCCACACUGGAACUGAGACACGGUCCAGACUCCUACGGGAGGCAGCAGUGGGGAAUUUUGGACAAUGGGGGCAACCCUGAUCCAGCCAUGCCGCGUGAGUGAAGAAGGCCUUCGGGUUGUAAAGCUCUUUCAGCCGGGAAGAAAUCACAUGGGUUAAUACCCUGUGUGGAUGACGGUACCGGAAUAAGAAGCACCGGCUAACUACGUGCCAGCAGCCGCGGUAAUACGUAGGGUGCGAGCGUUAAUCGGAAUUACUGGGCGUAAAGCGUGCGCAGGCGGUUUGUUAAGAUAGGCGUGAAAUCCCCGGGCUCAACCUGGGAACUGCGUUUAUGACUGGCAGGCUAGAGUAUGGCAGAGGGGGGUGGAAUUCCACGUGUAGCAGUGAAAUGCGUAGAGAUGUGGAGGAACACCGAUGGCGAAGGCAGCCCCCUGGGCCAAUACUGACGCUCAUGCACGAAAGCGUGGGUAGCAAACAGGAUUAGAUACCCUGGUAGUCCACGCCCUAAACGAUGUCAACUAGGUGUUGGGUGGGUAAAACCAUUUAGUACCGGAGCUAACGCGUGAAGUUGACCGCCUGGGGAGUACGGCCGCAAGGUUAAAACUCAAAGGAAUUGACGGGGACCCGCACAAGCGGUGGAUGAUGUGGAUUAAUUCGAUGCAACGCGAAAACCUUACCUACCCUUGACAUGUCCAGAAGCUCUUAGAGAUUUGAGUGUGCCCGAAAGGGAGCUGGAACACAGUGCUGCAUGGCUGUCGUCAGCUCGUGUCGUGAGAUGUUGGGUUAAGUCCCGCAACGAGCGCAACCCUUGUCGUUAUGCCAUCAUCAGUGGGCACUUUACGA
RNAcentral lists this ribosomal RNA (1047 nucleotides) under uncultured bacterium. Its description in RNAcentral is "bacterial SSU rRNA". It matches the Rfam family "Bacterial small subunit ribosomal RNA", at positions 97 to 1146 of the family's 1533-position model. The record is from RNAcentral.